GAUGAACGCUGGCGGCGUGCCUAAUACAUGCAAGUCGAGCGAACGGACGAGAAGCUUGCUUCUCUGAUGUUAGCGGCGGACGGGUGAGUAACACGUGGAUAACCUACCUAUAAGACUGGGAUAAUUUCGGGAAACCGGAGCUAAUACCGGAUAAUAUUUUGAACCGCAUGGUUCAAAAGUGAAAGACGGUCUUGCUGUCACUUAUAGAUGGAUCCGCGCUGCAUUAGCUAGUUGGUAAGGUAACGGCUUACCAAGGCAACGAUGCAUAGCCGACCUGAGAGGGUGAUCGGCCACACUGGAACUGGGACACGGUCCAGACUCCUGCGGGAGGCAGCAGUAGGGAAUCUUCCGCAAUGGGCGAAAGCCUGACGGAGCAACGGCGCGUGAGUGAUGAAGGUCUUCGGAUCGUAAAACUCUGUUAUUAGGGAAGAACAUAUUUGUAAGUAACUGUGCACAUCUUGACGGUACCUAGUCAGAAAGCCACGGCUAACUACGUG
RNAcentral lists this ribosomal RNA (497 nucleotides) under uncultured bacterium. RNAcentral describes it as "partial 16S ribosomal RNA". It matches the Rfam family "Bacterial small subunit ribosomal RNA", at positions 28 to 507 of the family's 1533-position model. The record is from RNAcentral.